AUUAAUCAAGAAUGACGCGAAUUAAUAUACUGCAAUUGUCUCAAAAGAAUAAUGGAGGAGUCCAAACAAUAAUUAAUGUGGGCUGGAAAGAAUAAAUCUGAGUCCAAUAAACAAUUAAAUAGGCCCAAAUGAAACAAUUAAUCAGCCCAAAAAUAUAUAUAUGGAAUUUGGAAAUAGAAGUCUAUUAAUAACUAUCUCAGCCCAAUUCUUUUGAAAUCAAUAAAGCCCAAACUUUAAAAAAAAAAAACGG
This 250-nucleotide long non-coding RNA is filed under the name Salvia miltiorrhiza (redroot sage). Its description in RNAcentral is "long non-coding RNA (SMIL_LNC013830)". Lineage: Eukaryota; Viridiplantae; Streptophyta; Magnoliopsida; Lamiales; Lamiaceae. The record is from RNAcentral.